CUACGGGUUGCAGCAGUGAGGAAUAUUGCACAAUGGGGGGAACCCUGAUGCAGCAACGCCGCGUGGAGGAUGACGCAUUUCGGUGUGUAAACUCCUUUUAUAUGUCAAGAAAAUGACGGUAGCAUAUGAAUAAGCACCGGCUAACUCCGUGCCAGCAGCCGCGGUAAUACGGAGAGUGCAAGCGUUACUCGGAAUCACUGGGCGUAAAGGACGCGUAGGCGGGUUGGAAAGUCAGGUGUGAAAUCCUACAGCUUAACUGUAGAACUGCACUUGAAACUUCUAAUCUAGAGUAUGGGAGGGGGAGAUGGAAUUAGUGGUGUAGGGGUAAAAUCCGUAGAUAUCACUAGGAAUACCUAAAGCGAAGGCGAUCUCCUGGAACAUUACUGACGCUAAGGCGUGAAAGCGUGGGGAGCAAACAGGAUUAGAUACCCGGGAGUC
Molecule: ribosomal RNA, 438 nt
Filed under: uncultured bacterium
Lineage: Bacteria
Description: partial 16S ribosomal RNA
Rfam family: Bacterial small subunit ribosomal RNA
Source: RNAcentral